Gavialis gangeticus (Gharial) is the source of this 496-nucleotide long non-coding RNA. RefSeq lists it as uncharacterized. The record is from RefSeq and is a predicted model, not a curated record. The transcript has 3 exons. Lineage: Eukaryota; Metazoa; Chordata; Crocodylia; Gavialidae.
UUUGACAUUCAUGGCUGCUUAUGCUACUGGUAUCACCUCACAUGACACCUACCAGUAGCAGAGUCCAGAUACCUGCAAAGGAGAAUGAAGCAGAGUUGACUUAACUCCUUGGAGUCUGAAGAAAAGUAUGAAUGCUGCCAUUUUUGAGACCAUGACAUCUGGUUUCUUCUUGAAUUUGAGCAGUGAGGCCAAUGCUGUGCACUUUAGAUGCAUCCUAUCUUACACAGUAGCAUGAUGAGGGAUGAGUGACCAGCCCUGGGUGCCUACUGAGAGAGCAGUACCGUAGUUGCCCUGGCUCCUGCCACCACUCCUCCUUCUGCUGCCUCCUGGGAUGAUCUUACAGCAAGUUUGGACAUGGGCUGGCUUUUCAUCUGACUCUUGCUUCUGUUGGAUCAAAACAUGAAAUAAGAAAAAUGAAAGCUAAUCAUCCUGUUUCCUAGCAAGAAAAUAAAGAAUCAUUUGCUUGGUGCAUGCUCUUACUUUGUCCACCCUAAAA